AGUCGAACGGUAACAGGAAGCAGCUUGCUGCUUUGCUGACGAGUGGCGGACGGGUGAGUAAUGUCUGGGAAACUGCCUGAUGGAGGGGGAUAACUACUGGAAACGGUAGCUAAUACCGCAUAACGUCGCAAGACCAAAGAGGGGGACCUUCGGGCCUCUUGCCAUCGGAUGUGCCCAGAUGGGAUUAGCUAGUAGGUGGGGUAACGGCUCACCUAGGCGACGAUCCCUAGCUGGUCUGAGAGGAUGACCAGCCGCACUGGAACUGAGACACGGUCCAGACUCCUACGGGAGGCAGCAGUGGGGAAUAUUGCACAAUGGGCGCAAGCCUGAUGCAGCCAUGCCGCGUGUAUGAAGAAGGCCUUCGGGUUGUAAAGUACUUUCAGCGGGGUAGGAAGGCGACAGGGCCUAAUAACCCUGUCGAUUGACGUUACCCGCAGAAGAAGCACCGGCUAACUCUGUGCCAGCAGCCGCGGUAAUACGGAGGGUGCAAGCGUUAAUCGGAAUUACUGGGCGUUAAGCGCACGCAGGCGGUCUGUCAAGUCGGAUGUGAAAUCCCCGGGCUCAACCUGGGAACUGCAUUCGAAACUGGCAGGCUAGAGUCUUGUAGAGGGGGGUAGAAUUCCAGGUGUAGCGGUGAAAUGCGUAGAGUAUCUGGAGGAAUACCGGUGGC
This 670-nucleotide ribosomal RNA is filed under the name uncultured Enterobacterales bacterium. RNAcentral's name for it is "bacterial SSU rRNA". It matches the Rfam family "Bacterial small subunit ribosomal RNA", at positions 60 to 716 of the family's 1533-position model. Lineage: Bacteria; Pseudomonadati; Pseudomonadota; Gammaproteobacteria; Enterobacterales. The record is from RNAcentral.